RNAcentral lists this ribosomal RNA (507 nucleotides) under uncultured bacterium. RNAcentral's name for it is "bacterial SSU rRNA". It matches the Rfam family "Bacterial small subunit ribosomal RNA", at positions 9 to 512 of the family's 1533-position model. The record is from RNAcentral.
GAGUUUGAUCAUGGCUCAGAUUGAACGCUGGCGGCAGGCCUAACACAUGCAAGUCGAGCGGUAGAGAGAAGCUUGCUUCUCUUGAGAGCGGCGGACGGGUGAGUAAUGCCUAGGAAUCUGCCUGGUAGUGGGGGAUAACGCUCGGAAACGGACGCUAAUACCGCAUACGUCCUACGGGAGAAAGCAGGGGACCUUCGGGCCUUGCGCUAUCAGAUGAGCCUAGGUCGGAUUAGCUAGUUGGUGAGGUAAUGGCUCACCAAGGCGACGAUCCGUAACUGGUCUGAGAGGAUGAUCAGUCACACUGGAACUGAGACACGGUCCAGACUCCUACGGGAGGCAGCAGUGGGGAAUAUUGGACAAUGGGCGAAAGCCUGAUCCAGCCAUGCCGCGUGUGUGAGGAAGGUCUUCGGAUUGUAAAGCACUUUAAGUUGGGAGGAAGGGCAGUAAAUUAAUACUUUGCUGUUUGACGUUACCGACAGAAUAAGCACCGGCUAACUCUGUGCCAGC